ACAGGUGCUGCAUGGCUGUCGUCAGCUCGUGUCGUGAGAUGUUGGUUAAGUCCCGCAACGAGCGCAACCCCUAUUGUUAGUUGCCAUCAUUCAGUUGGGCACUCUAGCGAGACUGCCGGUAAUAAACCGGAGGAAGGUGGGGAUGACGUCAAAUCAUCAUGCCCCUUAUGACCUGGGCUACACACGUGCUACAAUGGUUGGUACAACGAGUUGCGAGUCGGUGACGGCGAGCUAAUCUCUUAAAGCCAAUCUCAGUUCGGAUUGUAGGCUGCAACUCGCCUACAUGAAGUCGGAAUCGCUAGUAAUCGCGGAUCAGCACGCCGCGGUGAAUACGUUCCCGGGCCUU
This 346-nucleotide ribosomal RNA is filed under the name uncultured Streptococcus sp. Its description in RNAcentral is "bacterial SSU rRNA". It matches the Rfam family "Bacterial small subunit ribosomal RNA", at positions 1034 to 1382 of the family's 1533-position model. Lineage: Bacteria; Bacillati; Bacillota; Bacilli; Lactobacillales; Streptococcaceae. The record is from RNAcentral.